This 458-nucleotide ribosomal RNA is filed under the name uncultured bacterium. RNAcentral's name for it is "partial 16S ribosomal RNA". It matches the Rfam family "Bacterial small subunit ribosomal RNA", at positions 28 to 507 of the family's 1533-position model. The record is from RNAcentral.
GAUAAACGCUGGCGGCGUGCAUGAGACAUGCGAGUCGAACGAAGGAUCGGGCUUGCUCGAUCCUUAGUGGCGGACGGCUGAGUAACGCGUAGGUGACCUACCCCGAAGUGGGGAAUAACUGCCCGAAAGGGUGGCUAAUACCGCAUGUGGUCGCACGUUCAUUCGUGCGAGUAAGGCCGCAAGGCGCUUCGGGAGGGGCCUGCGUCCGAUUAGCUCGUUGGUGGGGUAAUGGCUUACCAAGGCGACGAUCGGUAGGUGGUCUGAGAGGACGAUCACCCAGACUGGGACUGAGACACGGCCCAGACUCCUACGGGAGGCAGCAGUCGGGAAUUUUGCUCAAUGGGGGAAACCCUGAAGCAGCAACGCCGCGUGAGGGAUGAAGGCCUUCGGGUUGUAAACCUCUUUUGUCAGGGACGAUGAUGACGGUACCUGGCGAAUAAGCCACGGCUAACUACGUG